Molecule: ribosomal RNA, 254 nt
Filed under: uncultured bacterium
Lineage: Bacteria
Description: partial 16S ribosomal RNA
Rfam family: Bacterial small subunit ribosomal RNA
Source: RNAcentral
UACGUAGGGUGCGAGCGUUGUCCGGAAUUAUUGGGCGUAAAGAGCCCGUAGGCGGUGUGUCACGUCGGCCGUGAAAACCUGCAGCUUAACUGUGGGCGUGCGGUCGAUACGGGCAUCACUGGAGUUCGGCAGGGGAGACUGGAAUUCCUGGUGUAGCGGUGAAAUGCGCAGAUAUCAGGAGGAACACCGGUGGCGAAGGCGGGUCUCUGGGCCGAUACUGACGCUGAGGAGCGAAAGCGUGGGGAGCGAACAGG